ACGAACGCUGGCGGCACGCUAACACAUGCAAGUCGAACGGAGUUAAGGAGCUUGCUUUUAAACUUAGUGGCGGACGGGUGAGUAACACGUGAGCAAUCUGCCUUCAGAGGGGGAUAGCAGUUGGAAACGACUGAUAAUACCGCAUAACAUAGCGAAACCGCAUGAUUUUGCUAUCAAAGAUUUAUCGCUGAAAGAUGAGCUCGCGUCUGAUUAGGUAGUUGGUGAGGUAACGGCUCACCAAGCCGACGAUCAGUAGCCGGACUGAGAGGUUGAACGGCCACAUUGGGACUGAGACACGGCCCAGACUCCUACGGGAGGCAGCAGUGGGGAAUAUUGCACAAUGGGCGCAAGCCUGAUGCAGCGAUGCCGCGUGAGGGAAGAAGGUUUUAGGAUUGUAAACCUCUGUCCUAUGGAAAGAUAAUGACGGUACCAUAGGAGGAAGCUCCGGCUAACUACGUGCCAGCCGCAGC
RNAcentral lists this ribosomal RNA (470 nucleotides) under uncultured bacterium. RNAcentral describes it as "bacterial SSU rRNA". It matches the Rfam family "Bacterial small subunit ribosomal RNA", at positions 29 to 518 of the family's 1533-position model. The record is from RNAcentral.